UGAGCCGGCCGGGCAGCCGCGGUGCCUUUCGCGGCAUCGAGGAAAGUCGGGACUCCACAGGGCAAAGCGCUGGGUAACACCCAGUCGAGGCGACUCGGAGGAAAGCGCAACAGAAAGCAAACCGCCGAUGAAUCCCUAGGGGAUCACAGGCAAGGGUGCAAGGGUGGGGUAAGAGCCCACCGGCGAUCCGGGUGACCGGGUCGGCCAGGCAAGCCCCGCUUGGAGCAAGGUCAAGCAGGAGAGAACUAUGAGUGGCCCGCUCAGGUGCGUUGCACCGCUCUCCGGGUAGACCGCAUGAGGCGGCGGGCAACCGUCGCACCAGAUGGAUGGCUGCCGCCCGGCGAGUCCGGGUACAGAAUCCCGCUUACAGGCCGGCUCAUUGC
Molecule: RNase P RNA, 383 nt
Filed under: Acidobacteriota bacterium
Lineage: Bacteria; Pseudomonadati; Acidobacteriota
Description: Acidobacteria bacterium RNase P RNA component class A
Rfam family: Bacterial RNase P class A
About the family: Ribonuclease P (RNase P) is a ubiquitous endoribonuclease, found in archaea, bacteria and eukarya as well as chloroplasts and mitochondria. Its best characterised activity is the generation of mature 5'-ends of tRNAs by cleaving the 5'-leader elements of precursor-tRNAs.
Source: RNAcentral